GCCGAUUGGGCUGCUUAGCAGGUCACUGUGAUAUAGUGGUAGUAAGGGUUUAUUACCUUCGUCGGUA
RNAcentral lists this transfer RNA (67 nucleotides) under Tracheophilus cymbius. RNAcentral describes it as "tRNA-Ile". Lineage: Eukaryota; Metazoa; Platyhelminthes; Trematoda; Plagiorchiida; Cyclocoelidae. The record is from RNAcentral.